UGCAAGUCGAACGCUGAAGAGAGGAGCUUGCUCUUCUUGGAUGAGUUGCGAACGGGUGAGUAACGCGUAGGUAACCUGCCUGGUAGCGGGGGAUAACUAUUGGAAACGAUAGCUAAUACCGCAUAAAAUGGAUUAUCGCAUGAUAAUGCAUUGAAAGGUGCAAAUGCAUCACUACCAGAUGGACCUGCGUUGUAUUAGCUAGUUGGUGGGGUAACGGCUCACCAAGGCGACGAUACAUAGCCGACCUGAGAGGGUGAUCGGCCACACUGGGACUGAGACACGGCCCAGACUCCUACGGGAGGCAGCAGUAGGGAAUCUUCGGCAAUGGACGGAAGUCUGACCGAGCAACGCCGCGUGAGUGAAGAAGGUUUUCGGAUCGUAAAGCUCUGUUGUUAGGGAAGAAUGGAUAUGUAGUAACUAUACAUGUAAGAGACGGUACCUAACCAGAAAGCCACGGCUAACUACGUGCCAGCAGCCGCGGU
Molecule: ribosomal RNA, 482 nt
Filed under: Streptococcus sp. oral clone 24-57
Lineage: Bacteria; Bacillati; Bacillota; Bacilli; Lactobacillales; Streptococcaceae
Description: bacterial SSU rRNA
Rfam family: Bacterial small subunit ribosomal RNA
Source: RNAcentral